AUGACUUCCGUUGCGAGUGUUCAGCCUAUUUAGAGUUUCCAGAGCUUUCCGACAUGUAUAUACAGACAUUCUACAAAUAAACUAAAGAAACACAGAAAAACAACUCCCGAGCAAACAAUGUGACUUAAAACAUCAGCGACCUCACAGCAUUCUACGUCAUGGACCAGCAGUUCACAGAGUCCUAGUUAAGCCGGGGACAUGUUCACAGAGCCACACCCUGCCUUCAUGCUAAUUACAGACACUCCUGUACCCGAUCCUUCCUUCCACAAUAUGUCAAAUUUCGUACAUUUCCUGUGAAAUGUGACACGCAAAAAUUGUUGUCAAGGAUCAAAUAGGCAAUGUACUUAUUCAAAGCACAUUGGCAUUUAAUUGGAAUACAUGAGAAAGAAUAAAACCUUUGAGUGUCA
Molecule: long non-coding RNA, 407 nt
Organism: Haliotis rufescens (red abalone)
Lineage: Eukaryota; Metazoa; Mollusca; Gastropoda; Lepetellida; Haliotidae
Exons: 2
Source: RefSeq, a predicted model, not a curated record